AUACCUUUCUCGGCCUUUUGGCUAAGAUCAAGUGUAGUAUCUGUUCUUAUCAGUUUAAUAUCUGAUAUGUGGGUCAUCGACCCACUUGAUAUUAAUCUUAUUUUUUAAGGGGGAAGGCCCGUCACAGUAGCUUGCUGCUGGGGUCUUCAUGCGUCGCAUUGGUCUUACACUUUCACCGAGGCCUGGCGCACCCCUC
Molecule: small nuclear RNA, 196 nt
Filed under: Helianthus annuus (common sunflower)
Lineage: Eukaryota; Viridiplantae; Streptophyta; Magnoliopsida; Asterales; Asteraceae
Description: U2 spliceosomal RNA
Rfam family: U2 spliceosomal RNA
About the family: U2 is a small nuclear RNA (snRNA) component of the spliceosome (involved in pre-mRNA splicing).
Source: RNAcentral